GGUGUUUAUAAUAAGGCCAUAGCAGAUGCAUUCACAGCAUGGCCUGUCAGAUUCCAACAAAUCUGAGAAUUCUGCU
RNAcentral lists this ribozyme (76 nucleotides) under Crocodylus porosus (Australian saltwater crocodile). Its description in RNAcentral is "Mammalian CPEB3 ribozyme (ENSCPRG00005010775.1)". It matches the Rfam family "Mammalian CPEB3 ribozyme". Rfam says of the family: The mammalian CPEB3 ribozyme is a self cleaving RNA located in the second intron of the CPEB3 gene which belongs to a family of genes regulating messenger RNA polyadenylation. This ribozyme is highly conserved and found only in mammals. The record is from Rfam by way of RNAcentral. Lineage: Eukaryota; Metazoa; Chordata; Crocodylia; Crocodylidae.